UCGAUGUGUAUGUGAUUUAGAAUCCCAUACAAAAGAAGUAAAUCCUGCUUAGAGCAUUNAGCAUGGUUAGUUGCUCUAGGACAUAAAAUCCAAACAAUCAAGUAGUGAAUCAUCCUUUCUUCAAUUUUGAAACCACCAACCAGUAAUUGCCUUGUAUUUGUUUGUCGUUCAGGAUGACGCAGGAAGGAUUGAAAAGUCAUCAUCCUGUUGAAAUCUUCAAGUCCUAAAUGGACUUUGACAGCAUCAUCCCANAUGGGAAGUUGAGCAACAUUGGUCCACAUGUCAUCAUCUAAGAUAAUGCGUACGCCCUUGACCUUAGUGGAUAUUAUCCCAUCUCGAUAGCGCAAGUUGAAGUAGAAGACUCUUAUAAGAUCGGGAUAAAUGCAUCCUUUUUGCUCCACCAGAUGCGUUAGU
RNAcentral lists this long non-coding RNA (414 nucleotides) under Vigna radiata. RNAcentral describes it as "long non-coding RNA (VRAD_LNC017642)". The record is from RNAcentral. Lineage: Eukaryota; Viridiplantae; Streptophyta; Magnoliopsida; Fabales; Fabaceae.